GGGAAAGUGCAGAAAGUUCAUAUUCUGUUCAAACAUGUUAUUGUUGAAUAUCAAUGUUCCUAAAGAGGGAGGCAAAGGGCAACAAUGUUGUUUCAUUUCCUGAUAAGGCAGGCCAGCUGCGGAACUAGGGAGGAAUUCGGCUCGAGGUCAAGUCAACAGAUGAAGUGAGAUGGAACCUCUGGGAGGGCCAGAGGGGCCCACCACAACAGUCCUAUCUCACAUAGAGGGGCCCACCACAACGACCCUCCUACUACAGUCCUAUCUCACACAGAGGGGCCCACCACAACGACCCUCCUACUACAGUCCUAUCUCACACAGAGGGGCCCACCACAACCACCCUCCUACUACAGUCCUAUCUCACACAGAGGGGCCCACCACAACGACUCUCCUACUACAGUCCUCUCUCACACAGAGGGGCCCACCACAACGACUCUCCUACUACAGUCCUAUCUCACACAGAGGGGCCCACCACAACGACCCACCUACUACAGUCCUAUCUCACACAGAGGGGCCCACCACAACAGUCCUAUCUCACACAGAGGGGCCCACCACAACGACUCUCCUACUACAGUCCUAUCUCACACAGAGGGGCCCACCACAACCACCCUCCUACUACAGUCCUAUCUCACACAGAGGGGCCCACCACAACCACCCUCCUACUACAGUCCUAUCUCACACAGAGGGGCCCACCACAACGACCCUCCUACUACAGUCCUAUCUCACACAGAGGGGCCCACCACAACGACUCUCCUACUACAGUCCUAUCUCACACAGAGGGGCCCACCACAACGACUCUCCUACUACAGUCCUAUCUCACACAGAGGGGCCCACCACAACGACCCUCCUACUACAGUCCUAUCUCACACAGAGGGGCCCACCACAACGACCCUCCUACUACAGUCCUAUCUCACACAGAGGGGCCCACCACAACCACCCUCCUACUACAGUCCUAUCUCACACAGAGGGGCCCACCACAACGACUCUCCUACUACAGUCCUAUCUCACUCACAUAAACUUCCACCAAGGUUCUAGCAUCAGACAGGACCAUGACUACACCAGUGAGAGGAACCAAUUAAGUUUCUGCCUAGCAACAGAG
Molecule: long non-coding RNA, 1096 nt
Filed under: Salmo trutta (river trout)
Lineage: Eukaryota; Metazoa; Chordata; Actinopteri; Salmoniformes; Salmonidae
Description: lncRNA (ENSSTUG00000046153.1)
Source: RNAcentral